Molecule: ribosomal RNA, 460 nt
Filed under: uncultured bacterium
Lineage: Bacteria
Description: bacterial SSU rRNA
Rfam family: Bacterial small subunit ribosomal RNA
Source: RNAcentral
AGUGAACGCUGGCGGCGUGCUUAACACAUGCAAGUCGAACGGAUCAAAGUAGCUUGCUAUUUUGGUUAGUGGCGCACGGGUGAGUAAUGUAUAGCUAACCUGCCCUUUAGUGGGGGACAACAGUUGGAAACGACUGCUAAUACCCCAUACUCCUUCUUGCCAUAAGGUGAGUUGGGAAAGAUUUAUUGCUAAAGGAUGGGGCUUUAUGGUAUCAGCUAGUUGGUGAGGUAAUGGCUCACCAAGGCUAUGACGCCUACCUGGUCUGAGAGGAUGAUCAGGCACACUGGAACUGAGACACGGUCCAGACUCCUACGGGAGGCAGCAGUGGGGAAUAUUGCACAAUGGAGGAAACUCUGAUGCAGCAACGCCGCGUGGAGGAUGACGCAUUUCGGUGUGUAAACUCCUUUUAUAAGGGAAGAUAAUGACGGUACCUUAUGAAUAAGCACCGGCUAACUCCGUG